This 396-nucleotide ribosomal RNA is filed under the name uncultured bacterium. RNAcentral describes it as "partial 16S ribosomal RNA". It matches the Rfam family "Bacterial small subunit ribosomal RNA", at positions 523 to 918 of the family's 1533-position model. The record is from RNAcentral.
AUACGUAGGGAGCGAGCGUUGUCCGGAAUUACUGGGUGUAAAGGGAGCGUAGGCGGGAGUGCAAGUCAGAUGUGAAAUACAUGGGCUCAACCCAUGGGCUGCAUUUGAAACUGCAUUUCUUGAGUGAAGUAGAGGUUAGCGGAAUUCCUGGUGUAGCGGUGAAAUGCGUAGAUAUCAGGAGGAACACCGGUGGCGAAGGCGGCUUACUGGGCUUUUACUGACGCUGAGGCUCGAAAGCGUGGGGAGCAAACAGGAUUAGAUACCCUGGUAGUCCACGCUGUAAACGAUGAUUACUAGGUGUGGGGGGACUGACCCCUUCCGUGCCGCAGUUAACACAAUAAGUAAUCCACCUGGGGAGUACGGCCGCAAGGUUGAAACUCAAAUGAAUUGACGGGG